Molecule: ribosomal RNA, 315 nt
Filed under: uncultured bacterium
Lineage: Bacteria
Description: bacterial SSU rRNA
Rfam family: Bacterial small subunit ribosomal RNA
Source: RNAcentral
GAUGAACGCUGACAGAAUGCUUAACACAUGCAAGUCGAGGGGCAGCAUGGUCUUAGCUUGCUAAGGCUGAUGGCGACCGGCGUAAGGGUGCGUAACGCGUAUGUAACUUGCCUUUGAGAGGGGGAUAACCCGGAGAAAUCCGGCCUAAUACCGCGUAUUCUCAAGUUGCUGCAUGGCAGUUUGAGGAAAGAUUUAUUGCUCAGAGAUAGGCAUGCGUUCCAUUAGGUAGUUGGUGAGGUAACGGCUCACCAAGCCGACGAUCUUUAGCUGGUCUGAGAGGAUGAUCAGCCACACUGGGACUGAGACACGGCCCAG